Molecule: ribosomal RNA, 253 nt
Filed under: uncultured bacterium
Lineage: Bacteria
Description: partial 16S ribosomal RNA
Rfam family: Bacterial small subunit ribosomal RNA
Source: RNAcentral
UACGGGGGGGGCAAGCGUUGUUCGGAAUUACUGGGCGUAAAGGGCUCGUAGGUGGCCAACUAAGUCAGACGUGAAAUCCCUCGGCUUAACCGGGGAACUGCGUCUGAUACUGGAUGGCUUGAGUUUGGGAGAGGGAUGCGGAAUUCCAGGUGUAGCGGUGAAAUGCGUAGAUAUCUGGAGGAAUACCGGUGGCGAAGGCGGCAUCCUGGACCGAGAUUGACGCUGAGGAGCGAAAGCUAGGGGAGCAAACGGG